GACGAACGCUGGCGGCGUGCUUAAUACAUGCAAGUCGAACGGUGAAGCGCCUUCCUUUUUGGUGGGUGUGGAUGAGCGGCGAACGGGGGAGUAACACGAGAGUAACCUGCCCACUUCUUCUGGACAACCGCAUGAAAGUGUGGCUAAUACGGGAUAUUCUGGGUCUGUCGCAUGAUUGGUCUGGGAAAGAUUUUGUUUCGGUGGGGGAUGGGGUCGCGGCCUAUCAGCUUGUUGGUGUGGUGAUGGCCUACCAAGGCGGUGACGAGUAGCCGGCCUGAGAGGAUGGACGGUAACAGAGGGGCUACGCGGCGCAGACGCCUACUAGAGGCGGCAGCAGUGGGUAAUAUGGCAUGGUGGGAAGCAUGCUGAAGCAGCGCCGCGUGGUGAGGGAUGGUGGCCUUCGGGUAGUGAUCCUCUUUCGGGAGUGAAGCAGGGCUGCCUCGUUUGUGGGUGGGUUGACGGUAGCUGGAUAAGAAGCGCCGGCUAACUACGUG
RNAcentral lists this ribosomal RNA (494 nucleotides) under uncultured bacterium. RNAcentral describes it as "partial 16S ribosomal RNA". It matches the Rfam family "Bacterial small subunit ribosomal RNA", at positions 28 to 507 of the family's 1533-position model. The record is from RNAcentral.